AGAGUUUGAUUCUGGCUCAGAACGAACGUUAGCGGCGCGCCUAACACAUGCAAGUCGCACGAGAAAGGGCUUCGGCCCCGGUACAGUGGCGCACGGGUGAGUAACACGUAGAUAAUCUUCCCUCGGGUGGUGGAUAACUCUCCGAAAGGAGAGCUAAUACAGCAUGAGACCACGGCUCCCCUGGAGCUGCGGCCAAAGCAGGCCUCUAUACAUAAGCUUGCGCCUGAGGAUGAGUCUGCGGCCCAUCAGCUAGUUGGUAGGGUAAUGGCCUACCAAGGCUAAGACGGGUAGCUGGUCUGAGAGGAUGAACAGCCACACUGGAACUGAGACACGGUCCAGACUCCUACGGGAGGCAGCAGUGGGAAUCUUGCGCAAUGGGCGAAAGCCUGACGCAGCGACGCCGCGUGAGCGAUGAAGGCCUUCGGGUUGUAAAGCUCUGUGGGGAGGAAAGAAUAAGGGUUGGCUAAUAUCCAGCUCGAUGACGGUACCUCCUUAGCAAGCACCGGCUAACUCUGUGCCAGCAGCCGCGGUAAGACAGAGGGUGCAAACGUUGUUCGGAAUUACUGGGCGUAAAGCGCGUGUAGGCGGCUCUGUAAGUCGGAUGUGAAAUCCCACGGCUCAACCAUGGAAGUGCAUUCGAAACUACAGGGCUAGAGUUCUGGAGAGGAAGGUGGAAUGCUUGGUGUAGAGGUGAAAUUCGUAGAUAUCAAGCGGAACACCGGUGGCGAAGGCGGCCUUCUGGACAGUAACUGACGCUGAGACGCGAAAGCGUGGGGAGCAAACAGGAUUAGAUACCCUGGUAGUCCACGCCGUAAACGAUGAGUGCUAGGUGUCACGGGCUUUGACCCUCGUGGUGCCGAAGCUAACGCGUUAAGCACUCCGCCUGGGGAGUACGGUCGCAAGACUAAAACUCAAAGAAAUUGACGGGGGCCCGCACAAGCGGUGGAGCAUGUUGUUUAAUUCGACGCAACGCGAAGAACCUUACCUGGGCUAGAAAGUACAGGAAGUCGGUCGAAAGGUCGAUGUGCCCUUCGGGGAACCUGUGGUUAGGUGCUGCAUGGCUGUCGUCAGCUCGUGUCGUGAGAUGUUGGGUUAAGUCCCGCAACGAGCGCAACCCCUGUUGUUAGUUGCCAGCAUUAAGUUGGGCACUCUAACAAGACUGCCGACCUUUAAGUCGGAGGAAGGUGGGGAUGACGCACAGUCCUCAUGGCCCUUAUGUCUGGGGCUACACACGUGCUACAAUGGCGACUACAAAGGGAAGCGAAUUCGCGAGGAAGAGCAAACCCCAUAAAAGUCGCCUCAGUUCGGAUAGCAGUCUGCAACUCGACUGCUUGAAGCCGGAAUCGCUAGUAAUCGCGGAUCAGCAU
Molecule: ribosomal RNA, 1367 nt
Filed under: metagenome
Description: bacterial SSU rRNA
Rfam family: Bacterial small subunit ribosomal RNA
Source: RNAcentral